CCUGGUUGAUUCUGCCGAUUAAAUAUGCUUGUCUCAAAGAUUAAGCCAUGCAUGUCUAACUAUAAACACGUUAUACUGUGAAACUGCGAAUGGCUCAUUAAAUCAGUUAUAGUUUAUUUGAUGGUUUUUGCUACAUGGAUAACUGUGGUAAUUCUAGAGCUAAUACAUGCGUACAAGCCCCGACUUCUGGAAGGGGUGUAUUUAUUAGAUAAAAAUCAACACUGUUGGUGAAUCAUGAUAACUUCUCGGAUCGCAUGGCCUCGUGCUGGCGAUACUUCAUUCAAAUAUCUGCCCUAUCAACUGUCGAUGGUAGGAUAGAGGCCUACCAUGGUUGCAACGGGUAACGGGGAAUAAGGGUUCGAUUCCGGAGAGGGAGCCUGAGAAACGGCUACCACAUCCAAGGAAGGCAGCAGGCGCGCAAAUUACCCAAUCCCGAGACGGGGAGGUAGUGACAAUAUGUAACAAUAUACGGCUUUAUCGUCGUAUAAUUGGAAUGAGUACAAUUUAAAUCCCUUAACGAGGAACAAUUGGAGGGCAAGUCUGGUGCCAGCAGCCGCGGUAAUUCCAGCUCCAAUAGCGUAUAUUAGAGUUGUUGCAGUUAAAAAGCUCGUACUUGGACCUUGGGCCUGGACGGGCGGUCCGCCUCACGGCGUGUACUGUCUUGCCGGGCCUUUCCUCUUGGUGAUCUGUUGUUUCGGCAGCACGGAACCAGGACCUUUACUUUGAGAAAAUUACAGUGUUCAAAGCAGGCUCGACGCCGGAAUAUAUUAACAUGGAAUAAUAAAAUAGGACGUGCGGUUCUAUUUUGUUGCUUUUGGAACGCCGCAAUGAUUAUAGGGACAGUCGGGGGCAUUAGUA
This 858-nucleotide ribosomal RNA is filed under the name uncultured fungus. RNAcentral describes it as "SSU rRNA". It matches the Rfam family "Eukaryotic small subunit ribosomal RNA", at positions 1 to 896 of the family's 1831-position model. Lineage: Eukaryota; Fungi. The record is from RNAcentral.